AUCUUGACUGGCCUAGUGGUUAGAGCAUCUAUCUCGGAUUCAGGAGGUCGCGGAUUCAAACCCCGGCUGAGACA
Molecule: non-coding RNA, 74 nt
Organism: Potamilus streckersoni
Lineage: Eukaryota; Metazoa; Mollusca; Bivalvia; Unionida; Unionidae
Source: the annotation of a GenBank genome assembly